CCGGGGUCGCGCAUGCCCGGUGCACACAUCGCGUCGCAGCUGGCGGUCUCUGCUCGGUUCCUGGUGGUGCUGCUCGCCGUCAUGGCUCUCGCGGUGCGCGUUGUUUAUUGUGGCGCUUGAGGCUACAAGCCCAAGUACCUCCAGCUCAAGGAGAAGCUGGAAGAUGAGUUCCCCGGAUGCCUAGACAUCUGUGGUGAGGGGACGCCCCAGUCCACCGGCUUCUUCGAAGUGACCGUAGCCGGGAAGCUGAUUCACUCCAAGAAGGGAGGCGAUGGCUUCGUGGACACGGACAGCAAGUUUCGGAAGCUGGUGGCUGCCAUCAAAGCCGCCUUGGCUCGGCGCUAGCGCGCCCUGAAGGCAGAGGAAUCGAACUCACGACCUUGUGCUUGCCAGGCCGGCGCUGUGCCACUGAGCUAAAUCCCCAGCCCCUUUGCCAGGUUUAAGUUUGAGUGCAGAAGCAUCCACUUCUGGGUCACUCGGACUAACGGUGCCUUCCAGGGCCCCCUGAGUUCGGUUGUGUUUGGCUGCCUUUGUUCCCUGUGAGCCCCAAGUCCGGAAAGGGCCUGAGGACCGUGACCCCGCCGCGCCUGGCCAACGCUUCAUGACGGGCAGGACCGAAAUGUCUCCGGAUGCCUGGUCUUUCCCCGAUGCUCUUGCGGCCGCCGGGUGGGGUGGAGGUCGACGCCCGUCUCUGCCUCUGUGGGAUGUGUGUCUUCCGGGAUCUGCCCCGGCACACUGCCCCAUCCCCGUCCCCAUCCCCUGCCCUGCCCCCCAUGCCUUGGGCCCCGUCUGAAUUGGCCCCAUGCUCCCCUCCAGGGAGCUGAGGGUCAGGGUGGGGACAGCGCCUCCAGCAACAGGCAGAGGCUCACAGUGAAGAAAUGGUUCACAUAAUAAACACUGGAUGAGUUCAGGA
This is an RNA transcript of Chinchilla lanigera (long-tailed chinchilla), 913 nucleotides long. It is a transcript of the gene named selenoprotein W, 1, with no coding region annotated. The transcript has 7 exons. Lineage: Eukaryota; Metazoa; Chordata; Mammalia; Rodentia; Chinchillidae. The record is from RefSeq and is a predicted model, not a curated record.